GGGGAUGUGGCGCAAUUGGCAGACGCAGCUGGCUCAGAACCUGUUUGUUGUGAGUUCGAAUCUCACCAUCCCUACCA
RNAcentral lists this transfer RNA (77 nucleotides) under Chromatiales bacterium. Its description in RNAcentral is "tRNA-Leu". It matches the Rfam family "tRNA". From Rfam's summary of the family: Transfer RNA (tRNA) molecules are approximately 80 nucleotides in length. Their secondary structure includes four short double-helical elements and three loops (D, anti-codon, and T loops). RNAcentral also lists the same sequence under 1 other name. The record is from RNAcentral. Lineage: Bacteria; Pseudomonadati; Pseudomonadota; Gammaproteobacteria; Chromatiales.